This is a long non-coding RNA of Ctenopharyngodon idella (grass carp), 1765 nucleotides long. RefSeq lists it as uncharacterized. The record is from RefSeq and is a predicted model, not a curated record. Lineage: Eukaryota; Metazoa; Chordata; Actinopteri; Cypriniformes; Xenocyprididae. The transcript has 6 exons.
GUGUAACUGAAGAUCUGUGUGCAACUGAAGUCAUACCAGAGUUUGAAGUAAUGAUCCGAUUAUCUGUAUAAGAGAGUUUUAUUCAGAUGCACCAUAUUGUAAAAAUAGGUGUAGACAGAAAAUAUGAUUAUCCUGACCUCAGCUAAUUUACUGAAUCAACCUACUCACAUCUCCUUUCUUUCUUUUCAUGAUGACAUUAAAGUCAUCUGUUGCCAUUUCUGGUGUUUCAUCGAUGACUCUAAACCAAACCAAACCCUAAUCCUGACCCUAUAAGUACAUGUAAUUAAUGUAACUGAUGAUCUUAUUAAUAAAAUUAAGUGAUUUUAACUUAUUUUGAGUAAGUUUGUUGACCUUACUGAGUUUAACUAAGUAACAACAACUUUUUAGAACUGAAAGAUAUUAAACUCAAUAGAUUCAAUUAUCCUCUACUUAAAAUAAUGAGUAGUAUGAAAUUUUUUGAGUGGUCAUGCACAGUUCUACCUGUAGGUGGAGUCAAUUUGCAUCGUAUUCUGAGGGGAGAAGCACAUGGAACGAUUUCUUAAGAUUAAAAUGUUUGAAGACUACACAAUGGAUCUGUUUUGUGGAAUGAGAUAUGCAUUGGAAAUAUCAAUGCAGAGUUCAAUCACAUCACAAUCAGAAGCCUCAAUCAAGAAUUCUUCUCAGCGCUUUGUCAACUUGCAGCUUGAUUUCUGGAAAUUUGUGCAGUUGAAAGUGGCAGUUGAAAAGAGAGUUUAUUGCGCAAAUUAAAUCUAUGCACUGACAUCACUGCUAAGUGCACAGUUCUUCAUGGCCUUCCUCUCAUUCUUGGAGAAGAAACCUCUGAUUUUUUUAAACAUUGCUGACAGGACUGUGAUUGUGACACACCCUUCUUCAGGAUUCUGACCGUGAUAACAGAAGACAGCCAGGAUUCUUCCUCCACAAGAACUACAUUUAGGAGUCUUCAUGCACAGCAUUAUUCUAGACUGAGCCAUUAUCAUGGAUGAACUUGAAAACCUUCCAGGUGCCAUGUGACUAAUUUCUGGACUGAUAUGUGCCAAAUUUGGAGUUUUUCUUUCCCUUGGACACAAUUCUCUGAAACCAAAACUACAUUUACUUAAAACCCUUCUGUUGAUGUAAGCAAAGGCUGUUUGAGAUCGUUAAAGGCUUAGUUCACCCAAAAAUGUAAAUUCUGUCAUCAGUUUUUCACUCUCAUGUUGUUUGACUUUGGUUAGUCUUUCACUUAGAUAGUCUUGGUUAGUCUUUUCACAAACUUAGAUAUUUUUAAAGAAAACAGGCUGGAAAACUUUUUGGAUCUUUUAAGUUUUGGUUACCUGGACUUUCAGUUGGAGGGACAGAAACCUCUCAGAUUUCAUUAAAAAUAAUUUCAUUUAUGUUUCAAAGUCUAACCAAAGUCUUAUGAGUUUGUGACGUCAUGAGGGUGAGUAAAUGAUGAGAGAAUUUCAUUUUUUUUUUUUUUGCGAACUAUCGCUUGAAUCUUGCUGUUGCACUAAAGCCAACAUUCUUUUUAAUUAAAGUGUUAAAUUGUCACCUGCCAAAGUUUAAACUGUCAAAAUUAAGCUAACAUUGAUUUUUGUUUCAUGGUCUGCUAUUCAGUUUCUUGUCAAAAGACUGUUAGUAUUAUUGGUUUAUUCAUCAGUCAUGAUUUGUAAUGCAUAUUGUUACAUUAAUGAAAAAUGUUUAGAAUUUAGGGGUGCCAGAAUGGCAUUGUUUGGUACAUCGUAGUGUCUGAAGAAAAUUGAUGAGCAAUAAAUAAUGUUUUGCCUGA